CCUACGGGGGGCAGCAGUCGAGAAUCAUUCACAAUGGGGGAAACCCUGAUGGUGCGACGCCGCGUGGGGGAAUGAAGGUCUUCGGAUUGUAAACCCCUGUCAUAUGGGAGCAAAUUAAAAAGAUAGUACCACAAGAGGAAGAGACGGCUAACUCUGUGCCAGCAGCCGCGGUAAUACAGAGGUCUCAAGCGUUGUUCGGAAUCACUGGGCGUAAAGGGUGCGUAGGAUGUUUCGUAAGUCGUGUGUGAAAGGCGCGGGCUCAACCCGAGGACGGCACAUGAUACUGCGAGACUUGAGUACAGGAGGGGUAAGCGGAAUGCGCGGUGUAGCAGUGAAAUGCGUAGAUAUCGAGAGGAACACUCGUGGCGAAGGCGGGUUCCUGGACAUUAACUGACGCUGAGGCACGAAGGCCAGGGGAGCGAAAGGGAUUAGAUACCCUUGUAGUC
Molecule: ribosomal RNA, 446 nt
Filed under: uncultured bacterium
Lineage: Bacteria
Description: partial 16S ribosomal RNA
Rfam family: Bacterial small subunit ribosomal RNA
Source: RNAcentral